CGUAGGGCGCGAGCGUUGUCCGGAUUUAUUGGGCGUAAAGAGCUCGUAGGCGGCUUGUCGCGUCGUCCGUGAAAACUUGGGGCUCAACCCCAAGCUUGCGGUCGAUACGGGCAUGACUGGAGUUCGGCAGGGGAGACUGGAAUUCCUGGUGUAGCGGUGAAAUGCGCAGAUAUCAGGAGGAACACCGGUGACGAAGGCGGGUCUCUGGGCCGAUACUGACGCUGAGGAGCGAAAGCGUGGGGAGCGAACAGG
RNAcentral lists this ribosomal RNA (252 nucleotides) under uncultured bacterium. RNAcentral describes it as "partial 16S ribosomal RNA". It matches the Rfam family "Bacterial small subunit ribosomal RNA", at positions 526 to 776 of the family's 1533-position model. The record is from RNAcentral.